AUGCUGUCGUCAGCUCGUGUCGUGAGAUGUUGGGUUAAGUCCCGCAACGAGCGCAACCCUUACUUUUAGUUGCUACCAUUUAGUUGGGCACUCUAAAAGAACUGCCGGUGAUAAGCUGGAGGAAGGUGGGGAUGACGUCAAGUCCUCAUGGCCCUUAUGUGUUGGGCUACACACGUGCUACAAUGGUAUCUACAGUGGGAUGCAAAGAGGCAACUCUAAGCCAACCCCAAAAAGAUACCUAAGUUCGGAUUGCACUCUGCAACUCGAGUGCAUGAAGCUGGAAUUACUAGUAAUCGUGGAUCAGCGCGCCACGGUGAAUACGUUCCCGGGUCUUGUACACACCGCCCGUCACACCAUGGAAGUUGGUUACACCUUAAGGCAAAGUGUAAAAACUUUGACUACGGUACGAUCAGCGACUGGGGUGAAGUCGUAACAAGGUAGCCGUAGGGGAACCUGCGGCUGGAUCACCUCCUUUCUAAGGAAAUCGAAAAAUAUUAAAACAAUUAUUUUCGAUUUAAAAAAAACCGGUAAUGUGACCGUCCUCAUUUCUCUUCUUUUAAUGUCUCUAAGGUAAAUCAAGGGGCCGGUAGCUCAGUUGGUUAGAGCGCACCCCUGAUAAGGGUGAGGUCGGAAGUUCGAAUCUUCCUCGGCCCACCAAUAUUAUGGGGGAUUAGCUCAGCUGGGAGAGCGCCUGAUUUGCAUUCAGGAGGCCAGCGGUUCGAUCCCGCUAUCCUCCACCAACUAAUUGAGACAUUUAGCUUUUUUAAAUUGUGAAUAUUAUUAAUAUUAUCAAUAUCUAUAUCCGAUUGUUUUCAGAUAUUUUUUUGAAAACAAUCAAAACAAAAAUUUGAAUUUUACACAGAAAAUUUUUUUCUGUGCAUAAAUCAAGCGUUUAAGGGCGAUUGGCGGAUGCCUUGGCACUGUAAGACGAUGAAGGACGUGGUAUACUGCGAUAAGUUUCGGGGAGCUGUAUGCAAGCUUUGAUCCGAAAAUUUCCGAAUGGGGAAACCCGG
RNAcentral lists this small RNA (1013 nucleotides) under uncultured bacterium. Its description in RNAcentral is "bacterial SSU rRNA". The stretch from base 1 to 475 matches the Rfam family "Bacterial small subunit ribosomal RNA", at positions 1045 to 1533 of the family's 1533-position model. The record is from RNAcentral.